UCCACGCCCUAAACGAUGCACACUAGUUGUUGGGAUGCUAGUCAUCUCAGUAAUGCAGUUAACACAUUAAGUGUGCCGCCUGGGGAGUACGGUCGCAAGAUUAAAACUCAAAGGAAUAGACGGGGACCCGCACAAGCGGUGGAGCAUGUGGUUUAAUUCGAAAAUACACGAAGAACCUUACCUAGCCUUGAUAUCCUUGGAAUCCUAUAGAGAUAUGGGAGUGCUAGUUACUA
This 233-nucleotide ribosomal RNA is filed under the name uncultured bacterium. RNAcentral describes it as "partial 16S ribosomal RNA". It matches the Rfam family "Bacterial small subunit ribosomal RNA", at positions 794 to 1026 of the family's 1533-position model. The record is from RNAcentral.